CAGCGGCAGACGGGUGUAGUAACGCGUGGGAACGUACCAUUUGCUACAGAAUAACUCAGGGAAACUUGUGCUAAUACCGUAUGAGCCCCCCUUUAAAAUUUCAGGAAUCAUAAAAUGCCCUGGCAUUUUAUGGGGGGGAAAGAUUUAUCGGCAAAUGAUCGGCCCCCGUUGGAUUAUCUAGUUGGUGGGGUAAAGGCCUACCAAGGCGACGAUCCAUAGCUGGUCUGAGAGGAUGAUCAGCCACGCUGGGACUGAGACACUGCCCACACUCCUACGGGAGGCAUCAGUGGGGAAUAUUGGACAAUGGGCGCAAGCCUGAUCCAGCCAUGCCGCGUGAGUGAUGAACGCCCUAGGGUUGUAAAGCUCUUUCACCGGUGAAGAUAAUGACCGUAACCGGAAAAGAAGCCCCGGCUAACUUCAUGCCAGCAGCCGCGGUAAUACGAAGGGGGCUAGCGUUGUUCGGAUUUACUGGGCGUAAAGCACACGUAGGCGGGCUAAUAAGUCAGGGGUGA
Molecule: ribosomal RNA, 512 nt
Filed under: Brucella anthropi
Lineage: Bacteria; Pseudomonadati; Pseudomonadota; Alphaproteobacteria; Hyphomicrobiales; Brucellaceae
Description: bacterial SSU rRNA
Rfam family: Bacterial small subunit ribosomal RNA
Source: RNAcentral